RNAcentral lists this ribosomal RNA (254 nucleotides) under uncultured bacterium. Its description in RNAcentral is "partial 16S ribosomal RNA". It matches the Rfam family "Bacterial small subunit ribosomal RNA", at positions 524 to 776 of the family's 1533-position model. The record is from RNAcentral.
GACGUAGGGCGCGAGCGUUGUCCGGAUUUAUUGGGCGUAAAGAGCUCGUAGGCGGCUUGUCGCGUCAACUGUGAAAACCCGUGGCUCAACCAUGUGGUCUGCAGUCGAUACGGGCAGGCUAGAAUUCGGUAGGGGAGACUGGAAUUCCUGGUGUAGCGGUGAAAUGCGCAGAUAUCAGGAGGAACACCGGUGGCGAAGGCGGGUCUCUGGGCCGAUAUUGACGCUGAGGAGCGAAAGCUAGGGGAGCAAACAGG